RNA transcript from Salvelinus namaycush (lake trout), 1731 nucleotides. It is a transcript of the gene named transmembrane protein 120A, with no coding region annotated. The record is from RefSeq and is a predicted model, not a curated record. NCBI's taxonomy places the organism in Eukaryota, Metazoa, Chordata, Actinopteri, Salmoniformes, Salmonidae. The transcript is spliced from 11 exons.
AAACAGAGUUGGAUGAGGUGUCCUCGAAGUGAUAGGUCUUACAACUGUUGCACAGCUGACAUUUCUUGUGUUCUUGCCUUUGCCCACAUAGGAAUACAAUGUUAUUCAACCAAACUAGUUUGGCUGAUUGCUUACAGGAGUGGGAGGGUCUGGAAAAGGACUUUCAACGGGUCCAGGAGACUCACCGUCUGUAUAAACAGAAGCUUGAGGAGGUCUCCAAGCUACAAGACAGCUGUUCCAAUGCCAUAGCACGACAGAGGAAGAAAUUAAAAGAGCUCACGGUGUCGCUGGAAGAAUGCAAAGAAACACUGAGUCCAGAGGAAAUUAAUACAAUAGAUGGGAUCCAGGAAUCUAUCAAGGACAGACCAAAUGUUUUCUUUGAAAUGGAGUCUUUCCUGCCAAAGAAGAAUGGGUUAUACCUCAGUCUCGUUCUUGGGAACGUGAAUGUAACAUUGCUCAACAAACACUCCAAAUUUGCCUACAAAGAUGAAUAUGAGAAAUUCAAAUUGGUCCUCACCGUCCUACUCCUCGUCUUCUCAUUCACAUGUCGCUUUGUAUUCAGUUACAGAGCCUUAGACGCUCUCUUCAACUUCCUGCUGGUGUGGUACUACUGCACACUGACCAUUCGGGAGAGUAUCCUCAUUAGCAAUGGCUCCAGGAUCAAGGGUUGGUGGGUGUUUCAUCACUAUGUGUUCUGCUUCCUGUCUGGAGUGAUGCUGACUUGGCCAGAAGGCAUACUCUACCAGAUGUUCAGGAAUCAGUUUCUCACCUACUGCUUGUACCAAAGUUUUGUCCAGUUUCUCCAGUACUAUUACCAGAGUGGCUGUCUGUACAGACUUCGAGCCCUGGGAGAGAGUCACAACAUGGACUUGACAGUUGUACCACUUGGGGGGAGUGUAUACCCCAAAAAUCUGACUUCUGGCAUGUUGGAGAAAUAAAGAAAAUAAGAGGAAUUAUGGAUGUCACAUGAAAUGGACAAGCUUUUUGGGGAGACUGAACAUGUGAGUUUGUAAGUCUUAAUUCAAAACAUGGGUAGCCAUUUUGAAAGAAAGGCUGUCAAAGUGAUUGAAUUCAAAUGGAUUUACCCAUUUGUCACCUGGAAUGUUUUCUAAAAUGUAAUCAGAAAGCAUAGUACAUUAGGACUAUAUUACAGGUAUCCUGAAUAGUACACUGCAUAGGCUAUGGCCAUAGCUUAAGCCACACCCUAAUAAGGUAAUUUUUUUCCUUCUCUUUAUAUAUUUCAAUUAAAGUAUGUAAAUAAGGCAAUAUAGAUGCACCUAUCCAACCCUUGUUACAUUAUUACCUUGUAGCCUAGUCUUACACCAAGUUAAUGUAAUUGUUUCCUCGGGUCCUUUCUCUGCUCUGGCUGCAGCCAGUAUUGACCUGUCAGACAACGAGUGGCCCCUUGGAGGCAGAGAGUGUGGUCCCGGAGGGCCCUGACGUGGGCCCCUGUUGAGCAGGAACCUCUGUUCAGGAACUUGGACAUAUUCCUCUUUUCGCUCAUCAUUGGCCUACUCAUCUACUGGUUCCUCUCACGCAAGAAGACAGGGGCCAAUCCCAGAAUUCAAGAGGCUCACCACUGUUGAGAGACAGAAUCGCUCCUGCAUCGGCAUAAUUCACUAUGGAGAGGCCAGCCCUUAGUCCGUUCUGAGGGGGCUUCUUCCUCAACUGCUUUAUUGGAUUGUGUCCCACUGUGGAUCAGACAAGUGUUCUGUGCGGCGCUGAAGAACA